CUGGGAGGGAGGAGGGGGACGGCGAGAAGGAGCUGUCUCUCCCCCACCUCCUUUCCGCCUCCCUCUCUCCCUCCUUGGCUCUGGCAGUGGGAAGAAGAUGAAAGAGAAGCCGCCGCAGCUGUGAUCGACACCACAUUGAUAGAUGCUCUGACAGGGGAUGAGGCGGGAAUCAGGGCAGAGGGAAGGGGGAAAACAUAACACAUUGCUCAGCUAAUAAGAGAACGGAAGCAAGAAGAACAAGAAAGAGUUGUGGCUCUCCUAAAUACAUUGUAAAGGGACAAGGGAACACAUGCCAGUAAAAAAUUAAAUUUCCAGGCUUACCGAGAAAAAUAGGACGAGGAAGAAAAGACUGAAGACUGAAUCUUAAUUAUCGCUUUUUAAGCAAGCUCUUGUUCAUUACCUCCUCACCAUGGGAUGCACAAGGAGACUUACGCGAGGUCUCUCGUGGAUUUUUGAAGAUACACGCCACAAUAUGUGGGAACCUCGUAGAGAAUGAAAAAACAACCCAAGUAGGGGGAAGAAAAGGCAAAGGGACCAAGGAGAGUGAAGCCAGUAGAAGGAGGGAGAACAGGGCAGUCUCUGGCACCUCGGACUGUGUGCUCAAAGGGACUCUUGAAGAUGCAAAUCGGAAUCCAACCUCAAAAAUUCCCCAGCCUUCACCGUCUCUUUGAUGCAUUUUGUACAAGGACAGGACUUUUAAGGAGAUGCUUUGUGAAAGUUACAGUAUAAGCGAAGCUGAAGUUUGAAAACACAUUACAUUUUGUUCCUUGGCUCUCAAACCCCCUCAGUUAAAAAUCCAGGCAAAAUUAUUAUACCCAAUACAGUAGCCAUCUGUAAAACCUCAGAACAGUAAACAAGGAGCAGGAAGAAAUAUCUCCACCUCCCUUAAAUUGAAAAUAGGGAAAAACAUCACAGAAUCAGACUUUAGCUUUACUGUAUAGGAAUAAUCAUGCAAAAAUCCCUUUUCUUUUCCUAAGGGGGAAUCUGCAUGCUGCUAGAUGUUGUCUAAAGAUCUUAACAAUGCUCUAAAUGAGCACUCAAAACUUCGUCUACUGUUAAUUACUUGACAGAGAUGGGAAUUCACUAGGAAGCAAUUUUUAAAACUAUAUCAUUUAAAGGAUUCAGUUGGUCGCAUAAAUCAUGACCAAAGUCACACGGUAUAUUCUAUCCCGGGAUUGGGGUCAAAUUAAAGAGCUGGUGAUGGGAGCCUGGAAGAGUAAAACAUUAAAUACGCUGUAAAUAGCUGACAAGCUACACCUGAGAGAAAACAAAAACAAUAAGCUGCUACAAUGUGUAAGGCAAUACUGAAAAGAUUUGGGGGGGAAAACCCUGUUUAAUUUUUUGGCGGGUAGCAUUAUGCAAUUUCCCUUGAAGUUCUGUACCAGGGAGAGGUAAAGUUUCAGACAUGUGAACAUGUAGCCAUGCCAGACAUUUAUACCCUCUGUUCUGAAAAAAAACAAAAACAUGGGAAAACAAAGUCAGAAGUCCUUCCACAAAUGCGCCAGUUUGACUGAUAGGAAAAGAAGUAAAAAAUGCAGUUUCACCAAAGCAGCCAAAGUAGACGUUCCUUUUCAUCAAACUGUCAAGGGGCAGGGAGGGGGUGACAGAAUGGCCAUGGGGUAUUUUCUGGGAGCCAAAGAGAUUAAAUGACGACUCUUACAUCCCCCCCCCAUGUUAAAGUGUUGCAACUAAUUCGAAUCCCAUUUACUCCUUCAUGUUAAUUAUCUGGACUCCCUGAGUCAUAUGGAGCUCAGCUCCAGGUGUCCUGGAGAUUAGGAGCUCUUGAAGAUGGAAAAUUUUAAAACAAUAACUAGUGGGAACUGAUUACCAGAAGGGAGGAGGGUAGGUGGCUGCGUUUUGUAUUUUGCGGCAAACCUCUUCUUUGGGAACAUUGUUUCUAACGAAAUCACCCUGUGCCUUGCUCUAUUUGUGUGGCUGUUUACCUUCCCCGUGUCGUGCGGGGUGAUGGCUGAUGGUCCUUAGCAUUGUUGCAAAUCUUCUGAUGAGGUGCACUUAAAAGAGGCUUUGCUAGAAAAUACUGACUCAAGUUUUCUUUAAGCUUUGCCUGGGAGAGAGAUUGAUAUUUCCAUGUGAAGUCUCUGAGGGAGGGGGAGCUAGAAGACGCAGGAGGGGAGAAAUAACUCUGGGGAAAACGUUCCUCCCUCCCUGCAGGUUCGGUGAAGUUCCUGGCAAAGGCAUUUAUGUAAGGUCUCUUCGAAUUCUUGCGGGGGAUGCCAUUAUAAAGCCGCCUCUUCAGGCGCAAGGUCCGGGAUGUGGUGGGUGCUGGGCGGGAGAAAGACCGCCGCCCGCCGCCCCCUUCCCUCGGAUGUAGAGGCAGGUUGUUCGUGUGAACUCGAGCGAACGACUGGAGGGAGGAGAGAAAAGCGCAGUGCCCUUCAGAGCCCUCUCCGCCUCCUCAGUCCUAACCCCCCCGCCCAGGCUCCGGGUCUCCCCCUCCCCCGCCCUUUGUGUGGCCUGGACUCUCUCCCAGCUACAACUUUGGUGGGAUCCCAGAGGAAGGAGGUGGCGGGGGCCUACGGAAGAGGAUGCUGGAAGAGAGAGAAGCAAGGGUGAAGGACUAGAAGAACGAUGUAAUUCCAGAGAAAGAACUCCGGCACCCUCGAUUUCCCACCCCAGUGUCACCAGAGGACUAAAGCUGUGGGCAUCUUCGGUUUAACGGAAUUCUCAGAAAGCGAGAGGUGGGGGGAGAGGGAAAUGGCAGUUUGUGUCCCAGGGGUUCUUCCGCUUCUUCGUGCCUCCUCCUAAGACAAACUCAACACCCACCACCACCACCACCACCACCACCACCACCACCCGCCCGACUAACAGAGAACUCGUGGGACGGUGAAAAGCCGUUCCCAAAUCCGGCCCCCUGCGGAUGCCGGGCUUCCGCGGGGCCGGCGCCGGUUGGCGUCCGUAGCUCCGCGCAGCCUCCCGGGUCCGCCCACGGAACCCGCCGCGCCGGCGCGACCCCCUCCCCCAGAGCCCUCGGGUGGCUUCUCCCGCGCCCUCCCGGGAUGCUCCUGCCGGCCGGGCCGACCUCCGCGUCCGCAUCUCUCUGGGGGGGGCGAGGGGACGGGACCGAUGCUCUCCUGUCCAAGGGGCCAGGUCCUCCCAGGGCCCGCCAGAAGAGCCAUACCCAACCCCACCGUCUGUGGGCAAGGCCAGCAGACCCUCUGCCCACUCGCAGGCCAGGGCUCACGACCCGAGGGCGCCCAGAGGGAGAGGAGGCAAGCUGGGGCGAUCGCGACGGGAAUGCGGGGCGGGCGCACAGGAGCAUAAUGGCUAGAAAGGGCCCUGCCACAUGCCCUCGCGGCUCGGCUCCGCGACGGGGACCCCUUGGCUCGUGCGCAGAGGAGCCAGCGAUACGUCUGGAAGGGUCCCCAGAAUGGAGUGGAAUGGAUGUGGGAACUGGAAUGCAGUCCCGAGCCCCAGGACCGCUCUCCUAGUGGGCUGGACGCCCCUUUGUGUGACUAAAUUUGGCAAGAAUAUGGAUCCGAGCCAGUCUUUCCACGUGUGCUCCCAGCUCCCAGCUGAGAAGGCCAAGGGUUCUCUUCCGGGAGAACCAGUUUGGCUAUUAAGGGAACCUCUCAGCACAGUGCAGAGCAAGAGAAAAAGCAAGAUUUCAGAGAGAAUAGCUGUUUACCAUCAAAGCGAACUGGGUUCCACACAGACAUGGUAUAUUAUACACAGAAACGAAGUGUCACCUGGGUUUUGCAUCAUUGUGAGCUCCCUCCUUCAGGGCACAGCUGAGUUUCUUGGGUGAGAGGAGGAAAAUCCCACACAGGAAUUUGCACCAGGGACACGAGCUAGAACUGUUUCUGCACCAGACUGAAGUUACCACUGUCCAAGUCUGCACUGUGUGCUGGCAAAUAGUCCCACUUCUUGCUGCACGGGCCCCUGCAGCUCUGCCAUGUUAAGCCCUGGCCCUUUCUCUGCCCGUGUGGUCAUAGAAGUCAUCCUCCCACCGUCUCCAGACCUGUCCAGAUGAGAAAAUGGAGACUUGGAGGAGUAAUUUGCCCAAGAUCAUGCUGUGGGGCAGGGAUCUGAAUCCAGACAGUCUGACUCCAAAACCCAACUUCGUAACCACCAAAAUACAUGUCCUGUCCACACUGUAGCCAUUGAACUAGAACAUAGCAUCAGUUCAGGUGCACAAACUGUUUAUACCACAAGUCAAGAGAAUCUCAAAGUCCAGGUGACACAGAGAUUAGGUCUCUCAUUUGUUGGGACAAACCUGGUUAUGGAACCAGGUUCUUUUGCCUGAUGUGCAGCAAACCAAAUGCUGAGAUGCUGAGGUUUACAGAAGAGAAAAGGUUUAUUCACAAGGCACCCAAGCGAGGCGAUGGGAGGACAAGUUUCAGAUCUGCUUCCUUGAAGAUUCUCUCUGGCUGGACUGGGGCAAUAGGACUGUGGACAGAAUAACACAUGUCAUGUCCAGGGUGAGUCACUUAAAAGCCAGAGUGCCUUCCCCUCUCCUUCUCUUUCCCACCCAGCAGCCCUCGAAGCCGUGUGUGGAUCAAACACGUUGCGAAGUGACAAGAGCCAGGAGUGCUGAGUUUCGAGGAGGACGUGAGUCCCUGCCAACCGACUUUGGAAUUGCUGUGAGUGAGACACAAGCUUUCACUGUGUGAAACCCUGUGACUUGGGGGUUCAUCUUUUACCACAGCAUUGUCUAGCCUGACCAGAUUCAUUUGCAUAAGAAAAUCUCCACUGCCUUCAGAAUAUAAAGUAUAUUUCUGUAAACGUUGCAGAAAGCUAGUAUCUUGAUAAGAUAUAGAAAUUCUUCCACUCUUUCCUCUUACUGCAGUUCUUUCACUCCUUCUCUACCUUAAUGGGUUGGAGUUUGUCAUCAAGUCAGUCAGUCAACCAGGAUGCAGAUGUGAGUUUCCUUGUGGAAACAGAUGCCAGCAAAUAUGCGUACCCCACCCAGAAGUACUGCGCCAGGUUAAAUCUAACCGAGGUCUUUUAGGUCGUUUCUGCCCACAUGAACCCAGGGUCGCUGAGUAUUAUUCCUUCAGCCCCACCCAUGCGAAAAGCCUCUUGGGUGAAGACAUGGAAUGCAGUUCAGCCCCAGGAUAUAUUCCUGCAAGGAGGAGUGCCAUGUACGACAGAUCAGAGACGGUGAAGACUAGAAAAUGUUUGCUUACAUAUUCAACUUAUGUUAUAUUUCCAUUGGACAACACUGGUCUAAGCAGCGGUUCUCCAAACUCCUGUGCUCAUAAUUAUGCGAGAAGCUUUAAAAAUGCAGAUUCCCAGGCUCCACUCCCCAGAGAUUCUUAUUCUCUCUGCGCUGGGACUCUGGUGCUGCUAUUUAUUUUUAAAGCUCCCAAGUGAAACCACGUGCAGCUGUUCCAGGGGCUGCAGGAGACACACAGUCUUCCACAGGCGCUGCCCCAGCCAUCUGGGUGAUAACCACCCAGCCACCCUCUGUGGGCCAUCUGCCCGGUUCGGGGUGGUUUUAAAAUAUGUCCAUGAAUUGAUACUCCUCUCUUCAAGAGGUAGAGCUUCAUUUCCCUCUUCUGUGAGAACAAGAUUUAAUGACUGGCUGCUAACAAGUAGCAUGUGGCAGAAGUGACCUGAACCUAGGUUAUGAAAGAUAUUGUGGCUUCCCACUCCCUCUCCCUCUCUGUCCCCAUCUUCCACUCUUGUUACUUAUCCUGGAAAAAGCCAGCUGCCAUGCCAUGUGGGCACUCAGCCAGCCCUGCAGAGAUGUCCACAAGGUGAAGGGCAAAGGCCUUUUGCCGAUAGCAAGGAGAAACGCACCAGGUGGGAGUUCCCUGGAGGUGCGGUGGGUUAGGGAUCUGGUGACACUGCUGUGGUGUGGGCUUGAUCCCUGCCCAGAACUUCUGCAUGCUGUAGGCACAGAAAGAGAGAGAAGAAAGAUUAAAAAAGGAACUUACCAGGUAUGUGAUGAACCACCUUGGAAGGAUCAUUUAACCCCAGUCAAACCUUCGGAUGACUGCAGCCCCUACUGACCUCUGGACUGUGCGAUGUCUCAGGAAAAAGGGCUAUGUCUGUUUGGGGAGCAUUUAUUGGAGGAAAUUUCAUCCAGCUGUUCCACAGAAUCCUAAAAUGUGGGAUCUCACUUCCCAGACCAGGGACUGAACUUGGGCCAUAGCAGUGAAGUGUUUUGUGUGUGUCUGAGCCAUUUUUGUUGUUGCUGUUUGUUUUUGUUUUUGUUUUUCCUUUUCCUGAGCUCCUCCCUCAUCACGUCUAUGUGUCUGUCCUCUGUGGCAACAUCUAUGACAGGCUUCAUUAUUGGGCUCCUCACCGCUGCCAUUUGUACGUACUUCUCAUUGUUUCCUUCUAUACCAUACAGAAUUGUGCUGGAGCUCGAGGGGAGAAAACGCCUCUUCAAAUGUGGCCGGAAGAGGUUGGUCACCUGUCAUUAGAAACGACUCUCACACCUUGAGGAAAGACCUUGACCUCCUGGGCUCACUCUACCCUCUGGGGGAUAUGUGUGUCUUAACGGCACCUGAAGAGAUUAUUUAAGUUUCCUUAGUUGUGGCAAGGCAUAGAGGGAGUGGGUGAAUGGUCAUUAGGUUGAUUUUCCGUCACAUUUUUUGGCAGUGGGGACUUGGUUUCCUCUUGCAUCAAGGGAGGAAGCUUGUGGGACCAUCUUCAUUUCACAUGGGGUUAAACCGCCAGAGAUGGGCAAAGCUUCCAAAGCUCGUGGUCAGAGCUCAUGCAGACCAGGUGCAUCUUCCCUCGGUCUCCAGGUCACCACUUUCUUAGAGCUCUUCCUCCUCUACUGGCCACUCCCACAAAGUCUCCUUUGCUGGUUCCUCUUCAUGCUCCUAAUCUCCAAGUACCUGAGUUGUCCACGGUUGGGCCUCUGUCUACUCUAUCUAGAUAACAUGCCCUGUCUGAUCUCAUCCUCUCUGCUGGCUUUUAAAUACUACCUGAAAGAAAGUGUCCUCAAAUUUCUAUCCCUAACCUGAAACACUUUCUAAACUCCAGACGCCGCCCCUUGGAUGGCCAAUAAACAUCUAAAACUAAAACA
This is a non-coding RNA of Sus scrofa (pig), 7003 nucleotides long. The record is from RefSeq and is a predicted model, not a curated record. Lineage: Eukaryota; Metazoa; Chordata; Mammalia; Artiodactyla; Suidae.